GACCGGUUCGUCUAGUGGCAGGAUGGCGCAUUCUCAACGCGUCGACGCUGGGUUCGAUCCCCGCACCGGUUACCA
The sequence is a transfer RNA, 75 nucleotides long. It matches the Rfam family "tRNA". Rfam says of the family: Transfer RNA (tRNA) molecules are approximately 80 nucleotides in length. Their secondary structure includes four short double-helical elements and three loops (D, anti-codon, and T loops).